GACGAACGCUGGCGGCGUGCUUAACACAUGCAAGUCGAACGGAAAGGCCCUGCUUUUGUGGGGUGCUCGAGUGGCGAACGGGUGAGUAACACGUGAGUAACCUGCCCUUGACUUUGGGAUAACUUCAGGAAACUGGGGCUAAUACCGGCUAGGAGCUCCUGCUGCAUGGUGGGGGUUGGAAAGUUUCGGCGGUUGGUGAUGGACUCGCGGCUUAUCAGCUUGUUGGGGGGGUAGUGGCUUACCAAGGCUUUGACGGGUAGCCGGGCUGAUCGGGUGACCGGCUCAAUUAGGCUGGGACUGAGACCCGGCCUACUACGGGACGGAGCGGAGCGGUGGAGAACACUGGAGGAUGAACCAAAAUGUAGCCACGCAACGCGGCGGAAGACGGCAUGCCGUUUGGAUUCUAAAUCCGCCUGAGCCGGAAUGUGAGUGACAGUAAUGGGUGAAUAAGCACCGGCUAACUACGUG
This 468-nucleotide ribosomal RNA is filed under the name uncultured bacterium. RNAcentral describes it as "partial 16S ribosomal RNA". It matches the Rfam family "Bacterial small subunit ribosomal RNA", at positions 28 to 507 of the family's 1533-position model. The record is from RNAcentral.